Kogia breviceps (pygmy sperm whale) is the source of this 1071-nucleotide non-coding RNA. The record is from RefSeq and is a predicted model, not a curated record. NCBI's taxonomy places the organism in Eukaryota, Metazoa, Chordata, Mammalia, Artiodactyla, Physeteridae.
CUGUGAAGAUGGAUUUUGGAUGACGUCAUGCACUGCUUGAGGAAGUGAGAAGCCCAGAAGGCCCAAAUGGAAGCUUGGGGUCGGAAAUUGGGAUGGUCAGAGAGACGACAGUUUUGCUUCUUGAACCCCCAAGAUGCAGGAGAUGCAGAGUUAACAGAAGCCUAGAUGAGAACGACUUACCGCUGGGGGCAGGGGACCAGGCCAUCAGGAUUCUCCGGUCCUCCCCUUUGAGUCAGAGAGAGAAAUUUCCCCGGGAGACAUGCUCCCACAUUCUGACCAUUGCAAGUCUUACUUCCACUGUAGCCAUGUGACUUGUUCUCAUCAAUGACAUGUGAGUGGAAGUGAAGUGUGAUGAUUGUGGGUCAACUUUUAAGAAGCAAUGAAACCUUUCCACUUUUUUGUUUUCUUUCCACUUGCCAUAAAGAGGCCCCAGGGGAUGGUAGGGCCACAAGAUGGAAGGAACUUGGGUUCCUGUGUCACCACAUGGAGAAAAGCUGCCUGUCCACCAGGAACACUGAGAUUAACUGAGGAUAGGAUCUGCAUGGCCCUCUGAAGGCUUUCCUAGCCCAGUCCUGCCUCCUCAGCCUUUAUCGUUCAUAGCUAUGGCCCUCCAGCAAAUCUUUCACUCCUGACUCCAGCUCUGCAUCUAAGUCCAGCAUCUGCUUCCUCGACGACCCAUAUCGACAUAGAAGCACAAAAUGGUGGAAGAGUCUGUAAAAACUGAGAAACCAUAGAGGAAAAACUAAUGAAAGACGGGAGACGAAAGAGAAAGCAGCAUGGAAAGCACAUUCAAUAGUAACAAAGAUGGACAGAUAACCCUGAAAAAAGAAGGGGAUGAUUGGAAACAAGAUGACUGCUUUCUAGAAGUCCUGGCUGUUAGUAAUCAAUAAAGUCUGAUGAAUGUGGAAAAACAGAACGCAGUAAAAAUGUGUUACAGCUGGGUGUCUUGCAAUGCAAGCGAGUGUGAAUUAAGUGCUAAACACAUAAAUAUACGAAAGUAGUUGUGUCUGUUGUAACUCAUGCCAGUACAGGAACUUUUAAGAGUUGCUAAUAAAAUAUUAAUGCAUUUUA